AUGAACGCUGGCGGCGUGCCUAAUACAUGCAAGUCGAGCGAACGGACGAGAAGCUUGCUUCUCUGAUGUUAGCGGCGGACGGGUGAGUAACACGUGGAUAACCUACCUAUAAGACUGGGAUAACUUCGGGAAACCGGAGCUAAUACCGGAUAAUAUUUUGAACCGCCUGGUUCAAAAGUAAAAGACGGUCUUGCUGUCACUUAUAGAUGGAUCCGCGCUGCAUUAGCUAGUUGGUAAGGUAACGGCCUACCAAGGCAACGAUGCAUAGCCGACCUGAGAGGGUGAUCGGCCACACUGGAACUGAGACACGGUCCAGACUCCUACGGGAGGCAGCAGUAGGGAAUCUUCCGCAAUGGGCGAAAGCCUGACGGAGCAACGCCGCGUGAGUGAUGAAGGUCUUCGGAUCGUAAAACUCUGUUAUUAGGGAAGAACAUAUGUGUAAGUAACUGUGCACAUCUUGACGGUACCUAAUCAGAAAGCCACGGCUAACUACGUG
Molecule: ribosomal RNA, 496 nt
Filed under: uncultured bacterium
Lineage: Bacteria
Description: partial 16S ribosomal RNA
Rfam family: Bacterial small subunit ribosomal RNA
Source: RNAcentral